RNAcentral lists this ribosomal RNA (226 nucleotides) under uncultured bacterium. RNAcentral describes it as "partial 16S ribosomal RNA". It matches the Rfam family "Bacterial small subunit ribosomal RNA", at positions 538 to 763 of the family's 1533-position model. The record is from RNAcentral.
GCGUUAAUCGGAAUUACUGGGCGUAAAGCGUGCGCAGGCGGUUAUGUAAGACAGAUGUGAAAUGCCCGGGCUUAACCUGGGAACUGCAUUUGUGACUGCAUGGCUAGAGUGUGUCAGAGGGGGGUAGAAUUCCACGUGUAGCAGUGAAAUGCGUAGAGAUGUGGAGGAAUACCGAUGGCGAAGGCAGCCCCCUGGGAUAACACUGACGCUCAUGCACGAAAGCGUG